Molecule: non-coding RNA, 83 nt
Organism: Cytospora paraplurivora
Lineage: Eukaryota; Fungi; Ascomycota; Sordariomycetes; Diaporthales; Cytosporaceae
Source: the annotation of a GenBank genome assembly
UCCGAUAUGGUGUAAUGGUUAACAUUCCGCGUUUUCAUGUUUAAAUGUCCGCGGCACUCGGGGUUCGAUUCCCCGUAUCGGAG